UACGGGGGGGGCAAGCGUUGUUCGGAAUUACUGGGCGUAAAGCGUGCGCAGGCGGUUCGUUGUGUCUGAUGUGAAAGCCCCGGGCUCAACCUGGGAAUGGCAUUGGAAACUGGCGAGCUAGAGUGUGGCAGAGGGGGGUGGAAUUCCGCGUGUAGCAGUGAAAUGCGUAGAGAUGCGGAGGAACACCGAUGGCGAAGGCAGCCCCCUGGGCUAGCACUGACGCUCAGGCACGAAAGCGUGGGGAGCAAACAGG
Molecule: ribosomal RNA, 253 nt
Filed under: uncultured bacterium
Lineage: Bacteria
Description: partial 16S ribosomal RNA
Rfam family: Bacterial small subunit ribosomal RNA
Source: RNAcentral